UAUUCUGGUGUCCUAGGCGUAGAGGAACCACACCAAUCCAUCCCGAAUUUGGUGGUUAAACUCUACUGCGGUGACGAUACUGUAGGGGAGGUCCUGCGGCAAAAUAGCUCGAUGCCAGAAU
RNAcentral lists this ribosomal RNA (121 nucleotides) under Aegilops crassa. Lineage: Eukaryota; Viridiplantae; Streptophyta; Magnoliopsida; Poales; Poaceae. The record is from RNAcentral. RNAcentral also lists the same sequence under 1599 other names.